This 73-nucleotide transfer RNA is filed under the name Trichonephila clavata. It matches the Rfam family "tRNA". Rfam says of the family: Transfer RNA (tRNA) molecules are approximately 80 nucleotides in length. Their secondary structure includes four short double-helical elements and three loops (D, anti-codon, and T loops). The record is from Rfam by way of RNAcentral. Lineage: Eukaryota; Metazoa; Arthropoda; Arachnida; Araneae; Nephilidae.
GUUCCUGUAGCGCAAUGGAUAGCGCGUUGGACUUCUAAUCCAAAGGUCGUGGAUUUGAAUCUCACCCGGAAUG